GCCUACCCCUGGUGUAGUGGUUUGAAUGUUAGACUGUGACUGUAGAGACCAGGGUUCGAUUCCCAGCACAGCCA
Non-coding RNA from Phrynosoma platyrhinos (Desert horned lizard), 74 nucleotides. NCBI's taxonomy places the organism in Eukaryota, Metazoa, Chordata, Lepidosauria, Squamata, Phrynosomatidae. The record is from the annotation of a GenBank genome assembly.